Molecule: long non-coding RNA, 349 nt
Filed under: Actinidia chinensis (golden kiwifruit)
Lineage: Eukaryota; Viridiplantae; Streptophyta; Magnoliopsida; Ericales; Actinidiaceae
Description: long non-coding RNA (ACHI_LNC007735)
Source: RNAcentral
UUAUACUAAUUUUUUCAAUUUCGUCUCUAAUAUAUUUAAUUGAAUUUUAUUUAGUCAUUUGUUAAUUACAUAUAUUUUCUUCUAAAUUUUUUAUUACAAAAGGGGUCUAUUAUUUGAUAUUGUUUUUUCCCCAUUUUUUUAACUUCACUUUUUAUCAUAAUUAUCCUUUUAAUAAAAUGGACCAAAAAGGUACAUUUUAACUGAUUAAUCAUCACCCCUCCAACCAUUGUUUUCUCCCUCCUCUUCUCUUUUCUUUAAGGAUAAAUUUCAUGACAGUGGAAACUUUAAUGACUAAUAUCACUUUAGUGGCCUACCUUAAAAAAAUUGAAUACCGGAGUUUCAAAAUUAA